GAAAUGAUAAAUAUAAAACUCAUAAUGAGAAAUGUUACUGCCAGAUAUAUGUUCAAAACAAGGAACAAAAACAUUUAUGAUAUAUGUUAGCGGGCCUCAAUCCUCCCACUUAACAUGGGAAAGUUGUGCAACAGAUCAAAACAAGAACAAACUGUACUAAAUAAUAAAUGAUAAAUAGCAACAGGCAUCGACCAAUCAAUUACAGGCUCCUGACUUGGGACAGGCACUUACAAAAUGUGGUGAAACAUGUUUGCUGGCCCUACCCGUAACCUUGGACUUCUGUAUGACAGCAGCACAAAAUAACAAAUAAAAUAAAUCAGUUGAAAAGAGCUUAUCUCAUCAGAUUGAUACAAAGCAGACAAACAUCUAAUAAAAACACAGACCGAACACGGCAGGAUAUUUAAACAUUCAUAACAAACAAGAACAAAAAAGAUGUAGUACAGAUCUUAGAGUACUCACAGUAACUGAAAGCUAGCUCAAAGUCAAUUACAACUAAAAAAACAAAAUUUAUUUCUAAGAAUAAAAUAUCAAUCAGUACACUUCCAACAAUGUUCUCUGUAUAAUAUCAAU
RNAcentral lists this long non-coding RNA (570 nucleotides) under Mytilus galloprovincialis (Mediterranean mussel). Lineage: Eukaryota; Metazoa; Mollusca; Bivalvia; Mytilida; Mytilidae. The record is from RNAcentral.